Long non-coding RNA from Canis lupus familiaris (dog), 3154 nucleotides. RefSeq lists it as uncharacterized. The transcript has 10 exons. NCBI's taxonomy places the organism in Eukaryota, Metazoa, Chordata, Mammalia, Carnivora, Canidae. The record is from RefSeq and is a predicted model, not a curated record.
UAGCUCCGGCGCGCGGCGGGCGUCCUUCCGGUCACGUCAUCCUUCACGGAGGCACUCCGUCGUCUGGCGUCGUCACGAGGGGGCUGACUUUGACGUCAUAGUUGGAGAGAAAGGCCGAGGUCAGGCCCGCAGAGCCCUUCCCGCCGCGCCUUGAAUUGGGACGUGGCUGUGCUCGCUUCAGCAGCACCUGUACCAGAAAAAGGAAGUCGAAACAUUUCUUCUCUCAAGGUGGUCCACAGGAUGAUAAAGCCCAAGGGAAAGAAGCCAGAAGUAUGACCAGAUAGUCCUAGUGGUUGUAAAGGUUAGCCUUUAUACUGAGGAUGCAAAAGCAAUGGUGGAUAAAACUGCUGGCAUUUUAGCAAGAACCAAGAUAGGCGCUCAGCUGUAGUUAUUGCUUUUUACUAAUCACUCUGCAAUGAAAGUGCCGUCCACUGGAGAGUACCUGGACUCUGUGUUUGAAGAUCUCUGUCUAAGAAAUUCACCAUAGGAAUGUGAGCUACAUCUGGCAUGACCUCAGUUGGUGUCAAGAUUUCAAAAGCCCAUGUAAUACGUCACACAUUCCUGACUCAAAAUCCUUGCCUACCAUGUAAAGGGGUUUGCACGUUACAAAGAGCCUGGAAGAAACGGCCGGGGCACACUCUGAAGAUUUCCCUAAAAUGAAGCUCUCGGUAAGAUAAAAGAACGCCUGCCUCUUUCAUCACGGACAUGUAGAGAGAGAGUGGAUCUGGAAAACAAAUUUAUACUUUUUCUGGAAAUGGGAAUCACUCAUAAAACACUUCAUGAGUUCAAGGUCCCCUUGUUGCCAUUGUGCCUCCUAUUCAUAUGGACUGUGAACAACCCAGAGGUAGUUGGACUAGUGGCAUGUUAUUGGAUGACUCUGCUUCAAAUUUGAAGAAUUUAUGAAAACUCUGAGUGCCAGACAAAAAUAGACAUUAAAAGGGUGUCGGAGUGCAAAGCUCAUUGAAACAACCCCCAGAUGGUUGGAUUUUACUCUAAAAACAAUUCCUGAUAAGAAAAAGACUAACUGAUGUUUUGAUGUCUCAGAAAGGGGCAUCUUUUUAUUUUCAAGUCUUCCUGCUACUAAGGGCAUACUGAUCUCUAGGCGUCUACUUUGGGAUACCUAUUCCCAAACUGCCUAUCAUCUCUUCACUCUUAGGUGGCUCAGCACCAGGUCCUGGAGAACAAGAUCUGUUUCUGAGCAAACUGGAGACCCUGGAAAACUGACAAGAAGAUGGAACAUAGGGGAUGCAACACUCAAAACUCAGGGAAAUGUGUUGUGCACCUAUUAAACAUAAGAUCUUUCAGUUCUAAUGUGAGGUUAGCUCUAUGUGAAGUUCUUUGUAUUGAUUUGUAAGUUGUGGAACUAACUUGUCUUUCCCUCUUGAAAUCCCACAAAAAUCAGUUGGUUAAAAUACAGAUCAUGUUCUAAAAGACAGUUUAUAGGGAUAUAAAAUGCUGGGACAACCAGAAAUCCCACAUUUUAGAUGUCAGGGCAUUUGAUCCAUUUCUGUGAAGCCCUUUGACUGAUUGAAUGUCUAACUUUGUAAAUUUAAGUGCCUUUUACUCUGGAGAUCUGUAGUUCUUCUUUCAAAAAAUCUUUUUAAGAAAUUGAGAAUUCUCUGAGUUGCUUGACCCUAGUUGAAGUCCAUGGGGCAAUCCAGGUUCUAGCCUUCACUCUAUAAAUGUUAAAUUUAUAACAACUUUCCGUCAUGGGUGCGACUAUGAAUAGUACGAUUUGGGGAUCGUGAAUUUAUGAAUGAACAGGCAGCUUUGAACUCCUGACGGGAGCAAGCACCAUAUGCCAUUCAAAGGUAAUUUUCCUUAGAUUUACAUUUCAUUUAUUCAUCCUGUGCCUCUAAUGCCAAGUGCUGUGUCAGGUCUUGAAAGGAAACAUAACAGUGAAUAGCAGUCCAGAGAAAGAACGAUAAAGCUGACAAAUGGUAGCCUCUUCAAUAAAUCACAGGUUCCACGGAGAGAAGUUGACUGUCAAGCCUACACAUUAGAAAAAGAAAUGUAAGAGGAGGAAAAGAAAACAAUAGAAAGAAACUUGCAAUGACUCAGUGAAUGAGAAAAGUCCAUCACAGGGAAUCCUGAAAAUACAAUAACAAUUAUCAUCAAAUUUUAUGAAGCAAAACUUUAAGAAAUGUUUGCUAAACAGGUCUGAAAAAAAUAAGAAUGGAAAUUAUGUAUAGUGAAGAGAAAAGAGACAAUGUCAGCCUAGGAUUCAAAAAUGUCAAGGUUGGGCAUUUUCAAACAAGGUGGAAUUGAAGUAGGAAGUUGAUGCGUACAAGGGUGGCUAAAGAGGUGGGAGGCAAGAAGGUCCCAAUACAUGCAUAUUCAAAGAGUGACGAGUUACAUUUUCUUGUUCCGUUUUGCUUUAGGAAAAUUCCCACCUUGUCCAGGUUUUGUGGUGUUUGAUUUUUAAAGAUUUAGGGACACCUGGGUGACACAGUGGUUGAGUGUCUGCCUUCGGCUCAGGGCGUGAUCCCGGGGUCCUGGGAUGAGUCCCACAUCGGGCUCCCCACAGGGAACCUGCUUCUCCCUUCUCCCUCUGCCUAUGUUACUGCCUCUCUCUGUGUCUCUCAUGAAUAAGUAAAAUCUUAAAAAAAGAUUAAAGAUUUAGUGCAGCUUUCUUUAAGAGGAAAAAUUCAAAUAUUAUAAAUAGAAAAUUAAGCACGGGACGUUAGAUGUUGUCUUUGACAUUAAGGAGCCCUGUUAUGUAAGCUUCAUUAACCUCACAGUACAUCUGUCUCUGGUCCCCUUUGGAGACUGGUACCCUUUGUGACCGGGAAGAUAAGGUGGACUUUGGGCUGCGGCAUGGGGCAGGUGGCCUAUGAUUCAUCUUCUUGCAUGAGGUGACUUGGGUCAGUGUAUCCUCAGCACUAGAAUGGUAAAUGAGAGAGAGCUGUGAACCUGGAGUGGGCUUAGAAGAUAAAGGAGUUAUUUCUGGUGGAAGUAGUGAUUAUUGUAUUUUAGAAGUGUGCAGGGAUCAGUGAAGCCCCUCCUUUGUCUCAUCUGAGUGGCCAGAUAUACUAGAGAGCGUGCUGGGUACUUGGGAUACAAAGUAGAAUAAAUACUGAAUGAGACUUGGUUUUGGGGAUGGAAGGGGUGGGACACUGGGAGGAGAGAGCCAGAAGGAACCUAGAGUACCCCA